UACGGGGGGAGCAAGCGUUGUUCGGAUUUACUGGGCGUAAAGGGCGCGUAGGCGGUCAGCACAAGUCAGUUGUGAAAUCUCCGGGCUUAACUCGGAAAGGUCAACUGAUACUGUGCGACUAGAGUGCAGAAGGGGCAACUGGAAUUCUCGGUGUAGCGGUGAAAUGCGUAGAUAUCGAGAGGAACACCUGCGGCGAAGGCGGGUUGCUGGGCUGACACUGACGCUGAUGCGCGAAAGCCAGGGGGGCGAACGGG
This 254-nucleotide ribosomal RNA is filed under the name uncultured bacterium. RNAcentral describes it as "partial 16S ribosomal RNA". It matches the Rfam family "Bacterial small subunit ribosomal RNA", at positions 524 to 776 of the family's 1533-position model. The record is from RNAcentral.